RNAcentral lists this ribosomal RNA (562 nucleotides) under Semisulcospira ningpoensis. Its description in RNAcentral is "partial 16S large subunit ribosomal RNA". It matches the Rfam family "Bacterial large subunit ribosomal RNA", at positions 1686 to 2542 of the family's 2925-position model. Lineage: Eukaryota; Metazoa; Mollusca; Gastropoda; Semisulcospiridae. The record is from RNAcentral.
GAGUAUUAAAAAAUUAUUAUUAGAGAAUAUUUAAUCUACUCAAAAAAUUUUUUUAUAAAAUUAAUUAAUUAGAAGGAACUCGGCAAUUUAAUGCUCCGCCUGUUUAUCAAAAACAUGGCUCUUUGUAAACAAAAAAUAAAGAGUCGGGCCUGCCCAGUGAAUUUUCAACGGCCGCGGUACUCUGACCGUGCAAAGGUAGCAUAAUCAUUUGCCUUAUAAUUGAAGGCUAGUAUGAAUGGUUUGACGAGAGCAAUACUGUCUCCUUAUUAUUUUCAAGAACUUAACUUUUAGGUGAAGAGGCCUAAAUUUUAUUGAAGGACAAGAAGACCCUGUCGAGCUUAAAAGAUUAUAUAGGAGUCUAUAUAUCUUUAGAUAAAUUUCUAUUGAGCUUUUUAGUUGGGGCGACUGAGGAACAAAAAAAGCUUCUUUUUAAAAAAUAAACAAUCAUGUUUAGAUCCGGUAGUAGCGAUUAAGGAAAUUAGUUACCGCAGGGAUAACAGCAUAAUCUCUCUUGAGAGACCUAAUCGAAAGAGGGGGUUGUGACCUCGAUGUUGGACUAGAA